This 549-nucleotide ribosomal RNA is filed under the name uncultured Glomus. RNAcentral describes it as "SSU rRNA". It matches the Rfam family "Eukaryotic small subunit ribosomal RNA", at positions 548 to 1098 of the family's 1831-position model. Lineage: Eukaryota; Fungi; Glomeromycota; Glomeromycetes; Glomerales; Glomeraceae. The record is from RNAcentral.
UUGGAGGGCAAGUCUGGUGCCAGCAGCCGCGGUAAUUCCAGCUCCAAUAGCGUAUAUUAAAGUUGUUGCAGUUAAAAAGCUCGUAGUUGAAUUUCGGGAUCAAUAUAUCGGUCGUGCCAUCGGUACGUACUGGUAUGAUUGGUUUCUCCUUUCUGACGAACCAUGACGUCAUUAAUUUGGUGUUAUGGGAAGUUAGGACUGUUACUUUGAAAAAAUUAGAGUGUUUAAAGCAGGCUUUAGCUUGAAUACAUUAGCAUGGAAUAAUGAAAUAGGACGUUCGAACCUAUUUUGUUGGUUUCUAGGAUCAACGUAAUGAUUAAUAGGGAUAGUUGGGGGCAUUAGUAUUCAAUUGUCAGAGGUGAAAUUCUUGGAUUUAUUGAAGACUAACUACUGCGAAAGCAUUUGCCAAGGAUGUUUUCAUUAAUCAAGAACGAAAGUUAGGGGAUCGAAGACGAUCAGAUACCGUCGUAGUCUUAACCAUAAACUAUGCCGACUAGGGAUCGGAUGAUGUUAAUUUUUUAAUGACUCAUUCGGCGCCUUACGGGAAAC